GACGAACGCUGGCGGCGUGCCUAAUACAUGCAAGUCGAGCGGACUUUCAAGAAGCUUGCUUUUUGAAAGUUAGCGGCGGACGGGUGAGUAACACGUGGGCAACCUGCCUGCAAGACGGGGAUAACUCCGGGAAACCGGGGCUAAUACCGGAUAAUAUCUUCCUUCGCAUGAAGGAAGGUUGAAAGGCGGCGCAAGCUGCCGCUUGCAGAUGGGCCCGCGGCGCAUUAGCUAGUUGGUGAGGUAACGGCUCACCAAGGCGACGAUGCGUAGCCGACCUGAGAGGGUGAUAGGCCACACUGGGACUGAGACACGGCCCAGACUCCUACGGGAGGAAGCAGUAGGGAAUCUUCCGCAAUGGACGAAAGUCUGACGGAGCAACGCCGCGUGAGCGAAGAAGGUCUUCGGAUCGUAAAGCUCUGUUGUCAGGGAAGAACAAGUACCGUUCGAACAGGGCGGUACCUUGACGGUACCUGACCAGAAAGCCACGGCUAACUACGUG
RNAcentral lists this ribosomal RNA (499 nucleotides) under uncultured bacterium. RNAcentral describes it as "partial 16S ribosomal RNA". It matches the Rfam family "Bacterial small subunit ribosomal RNA", at positions 28 to 507 of the family's 1533-position model. The record is from RNAcentral.